This is a long non-coding RNA of Felis catus (domestic cat), 1020 nucleotides long. RefSeq lists it as uncharacterized. The transcript is spliced from 2 exons. The record is from RefSeq and is a predicted model, not a curated record. NCBI's taxonomy places the organism in Eukaryota, Metazoa, Chordata, Mammalia, Carnivora, Felidae.
GCUGUCAGCACAGAGCCCGACGCGGGGCUUGAACUCACGAACUGUAAGAUCACGACCUGAGCCGAAGUCGGCUGCUUAACCGACUGAGCCACCCAGGUGCCCCCCUGUGGCAUUUCUAACAAGCUUCCCUCAAAGUCUGGUCUGACAGGCGCUCUGGCAUCACAAGUUCAAAGGACUCUGGCAAAGCUGUGUUCCACAUCUCCUUAGAGCUGCCCGGUGACAUUAGCACAUUGAAGGCUCUGAUAAGUCCUGUAAUAAGGAAGUCGGUAUAAAGUGGAGUUGCCAAGUGUUCCCUGCACUUAUUGGACGGCAGGACCUCUUUUGUGAACAUCUGUGGACAGUACGUGGAAUGAAUGCCUGAAAAUACUGUGCGUCUUCACCCUGGGAGAAGAGGGGGCAAAUCACUUGAAAGGCUACUGGGCCUCACAUCCCCGUCUGCACCUCCCGCUGAGUCCGUCACAGACUUGUCUGUUAGAAAUAGGCUGCACGGAGGAAAGUGACCCGACUCCUGCUUCCGGGUCAAGUGAGAGGCCAUCCCCUUAAGCAUGGAGAGAAUUACGAAACCGUGUCAACCUGUGAGGACAUUUAUCUUCUCGGAGAAAGUCGACGGCCUAAAAAGUCACUUUAAAUGUGGCUGAGGCUGGCUGCCUCCCCUUGGAGUUUCCAUCAGUGACAACUCCCCGAUGGGACAGGAGGCAGGCAGCAGGGCCAGCAGGCUAACUCCGCCCACCAAGCCUGGAGCGCCCUGGCCUAGCCUGCGGUCCAGAUUCCGUCCAGUCUGCAGAACUCUACACGCUGUUGUGUCUCCCCUGGGUGAUGCUGUGGCCACAGAGCGUGGCACGUGUGUCACAAGAAGCCUGCAGCCCUCCCCCUAUCUUGGGGAAGCCAGGCCCCAAGGCCCAGCCCCACGGGGGUGAAGGGAGGGGAGCCCCUCCUCUGGCUUCACCCGAGCAGGGCCACAUUAUUCAAAGGCCCUUCCUCCAAAAAGCAAAACAAAAUAAAUACCACAUUUUUAUGGCA